CCUACGGGAGGCAGCAGUAAGGAAUAUUGGACAAUGGUCGCAAGACUGAUCCAGCCAUGCCGCGUGCAGGAUGACAGCCCUAUGGGUCGUAAACUGCUUUUGUGCGAGAAAAAACCCCUCUACGUGUAGAGGGCUGAUUGUAUCGUAAGAAUAAGGAUCGGCUAACUCCGUGCCAGCAGCCGCGGUAAUACGGAGGAUCCAAGCGUUAUCCGGAUUCAUUGGGUUUAAAGGGUGCGUAGGCGGAAUGAUAAGUCAGUGGUGAAAGCCUGCAGCUUAACUGCAGAACUGCCAUUGAUACUGUCAAUCUUGAGUACAUUUGAUGUGGGCGGAAUGUGUCAUGUAGCGGUGAAAUGCUUAGAUAUGACACAGAACACCGAUUGCGAAGGCAGCUCACAAAACUGUAACUGACGCUGAGGCACGAAAGCGUGGGUAUCAAACAGGAUUAGAUACCCUGGUAGUCCACGCUGUAAACCUAUGAUUACUCGAUGUUUGCGAUACACUGUAAGCGUCUAAGCGAAAGCGAUAAGUAAUCCACCUGGGAGUACGCGCGCGAGAGAGAACGACGAAGAGUUAGUUAGGACGGCGUAGGAGAGACGACGGACGACGAACGGACCGGAAGGGAAGGUAAG
RNAcentral lists this ribosomal RNA (629 nucleotides) under uncultured bacterium. Its description in RNAcentral is "bacterial SSU rRNA". The stretch from base 1 to 536 matches the Rfam family "Bacterial small subunit ribosomal RNA", at positions 338 to 873 of the family's 1533-position model. The record is from RNAcentral.